This is a long non-coding RNA of Dreissena polymorpha, 636 nucleotides long. RefSeq lists it as uncharacterized. Lineage: Eukaryota; Metazoa; Mollusca; Bivalvia; Myida; Dreissenidae. The transcript has 4 exons. The record is from RefSeq and is a predicted model, not a curated record.
AGGUAAUUUGAAUAGUGUUAUCAAUUGAAGUGCUACUAGUCAGUCGUACGCUAUACACUUAAAUAUGUUCAAGGACUUGGAGUUGCGAUAACAAUUUGGGCUAUGAAGGGAAAUGAUAGGCGAUCCAACUGAGUUUGAAUUUACAAUUAAAAUCAAACAUUGCAGACGAACACCUAUAGGUCCAAUUCUCAAGGCGUAUGGGUUAGCAUGACUAAGAUUAGUUGCCCAGCACGUGCUUGCAGAUCAAAGUAUGUGUGUGUUCGCGGCAUGUUUAUCGUGGGUGUGCGGCCAUGAUGGAAAUAGUGUCUACAUAAACGAACAUGGUAAAAUCAAAUGUGCCCAUAGUGAGAAGAGUGAAGGUAUACACAUAGCUGACGUAUGUCAAUCGGGGUGGACAUGUGGAGACAGUUCUCACAAAGACGAGUACAUCAAAUCGGAUUUCGAUAGUUUUGUGUUUGCAGUUUCUGAUGCUUUAAAAUUCAGUAGUAAACAAUCAUCAAGUUGGAUUGUUACGUUAACUUCAUCGUUAGGAAGACAAUUCGAUGUGUGAAUGCAAUACUUAUGCUAAUAACUGGAAACGUUGAAAAUUCAAAUAAUAACUAAGUUAAUAGUUUAAUAAAAUUGCAUAAUAAAAUA